RNAcentral lists this ribosomal RNA (254 nucleotides) under uncultured bacterium. RNAcentral's name for it is "partial 16S ribosomal RNA". It matches the Rfam family "Bacterial small subunit ribosomal RNA", at positions 524 to 776 of the family's 1533-position model. The record is from RNAcentral.
UACGGGGGGGGCAAGCGAUGUUCGGAAUUACUGGGCGUAAAGGGCUCGUAGGCGGCCAACUAAGUCAUACGUGAAAUCCCUCGGCUUAACCGGGGAACUGCGUCUGAUACUGGAUGGCUUGAGUUCGGGAGAGGGAUGCGGAAUUCUUGGUGUAGCGGUGAAAUGCGUAGAUAUCAAGAGGAACACCUGAGGUGAAGACGGGUUGCUGGGACGACACUGACGCUAAGUGCGCGAAAGCCAGGGGAGCAAACGGG